UAAGCUCAAGUCCUUUGAUUAGCCAAGAUCAAGUUCUCUGAUCAGCCAAGGUCAAGUCCUCUGAUCAGCCAAGGUCAAGUCUUCUAAUCAGCCAAAGUCAAGUCAUCUGAUCAGCCAAGAUCUUGGCCUUCGAUCAGCCAAGUCAAGGUCUUUGAUCAGCCAAGAUCAAGGCCUUUGAUCAGCUGGAUCAAACCCAAGUCCAAGUCUAGGUCGAGCAACUCUAAGUCGAUGUAGAGUAACACCAAGUUGGAGGUGGAACUUAACUUCAAGUCGAGGUGCGAACCUAAUUCCAAGUCCGGUCAAGCAAUUCCAAGUCACCAACAUCAAUGGGUG
RNAcentral lists this long non-coding RNA (333 nucleotides) under Prunus persica (peach). RNAcentral describes it as "long non-coding RNA (PPER_LNC002035)". The record is from RNAcentral. Lineage: Eukaryota; Viridiplantae; Streptophyta; Magnoliopsida; Rosales; Rosaceae.